RNAcentral lists this unclassified non-coding RNA (243 nucleotides) under Hevea brasiliensis (rubber tree). Lineage: Eukaryota; Viridiplantae; Streptophyta; Magnoliopsida; Malpighiales; Euphorbiaceae. The record is from RNAcentral.
GGCCAUUCAAUCCAUCCUUUCAUCCCUCGAGUAACAUGUGGAUUCGCCAAGUCCCUUAGUAGCCUAGGCCUUCCUUCACACAACUUUCUUUUCGGAGAAGUUCUCUUCAGACUAGAAAUUGUGUCAUUUGAGCUCCUCCAGUCUCUACCAUCAUCAAAUGUUAUCUUACUGCGUCUGCUGUUACUUAGGCUUGAUGAUCCCAAAAGCGCAGCAGUGAAAGGUAUGUUAUGUGAUGAUUGUUCA